RNAcentral lists this ribosomal RNA (1470 nucleotides) under metagenome. Its description in RNAcentral is "bacterial SSU rRNA". It matches the Rfam family "Archaeal small subunit ribosomal RNA". The record is from RNAcentral.
UCCGGUUGAUUCUGCCGGACCCAAUUGCUAUCAGCUUCAGACUAAGACAUGCAAGUCGAAAGGCGCCCCAUGUGGUGCCUUGGCGAACUGCUCCGUAACAGGUGGACAACGUACCCUGGGGAGGAGGCUAACCACGAGAAAUUGUGGAUAAUACACCAUAGGUGAGCGGAUCUGGAAAUCGACCGCUCAGCGUAACGGGCUGGGGAACUAUGGUCCCUGUCCCGCCCCAGGAUCGGUCUGCCCCCGAUUAGGUAGAUGUGAGGGUAACUGCCCCACAUGCCAUUGAUCGGUAGGGGUCAUGAGAGUGUGAGCCCCGAGAAGUCUACUGAGACACUGAGACUAUUCCUACGGGAAGCAGCAGUCGCGAAACCUUUACAAUGCUCGAAAGAGUGAUAGGGUGAAGCUGAGUGCCACCAGUAUAAGCUGGAGGCUGUUCCCCAUGCGUAAAGAACUGGGGAAGGAAGGAGAGGGCAAGGCUGGUGCCAGCAGCCGCGGUAAAACCAGCUCUUCAAGUGAUUGGGACGAUUAUUGACCUUAAAGCGCCCGUAGCAUGAAUCUUAAGUCUUCGGUUAAAUCCGGCGGCUCAACCGCCGGUCCGCUGAAGAUACUGAGAUUGCUAGGGAACGGGAGAGGUACGCCGUACUGUGGGGGGAGCGGUGAAAUGCGUCGAUCCCCACGGGACGACCAGUGGCGAAGGCGACGUACUGGAACGUGUCCGACUGUGAGGGGCGAAAGCUCAGGUAGCAAACGGGAUUAGAUACCCCGGUAGUCUGGGCCGUAAACGAUGCCGAUUAGCUGUGGGGUACACUCCGAGUGUGCCCCGUGGCGAAGGGAAACCGUUAAAUCGGCCGGUUGGGAAGUACGCUCGCAAGGGUGAAACUUAAAGAAAUUGACGGGAGAAUACACAACUCUAGGGGCCUGUGGCUUGAAUUGGAUACAACCCCGGAAACCUUACCACGCGCACCGCUGAAAAUGAUGGUCAGAUUGACGAUCUUGCCGGAUCUGCGUAGACUGGUGCAUGGCCACUGCCAGACAGUAUUGUGAAACGUCACGUUAAUUCGUGUAACUGUCGCAACCGACGCCCGCAUUUGCCAUCGAGAGGCUACGGCUUCGUCGGGAACUAUGCGGGGACCGCUUUCAAUUAGAAAGAUGAAGGUGUCGACCACAGUAGGUCUGUAUGCCGUCGGAUCGCGUGGGCCGCACGCGGGCCACAUUGCAAGGGACAGAGGGCUGCGACUCCGAAAGGAGGAGCCAAUCCCUAAACCCUUGCGCAGUUUGGAUCGAGGGCUGCAAUCGCCCUCGUGAAAUUGGAUUGAGCAGUAAUCGCGUGUCAUCAACGCGCGGUGAAUACGUAGAUAUUCUUUGUUCACACCGCCCGUCGCUGUAUGGAAAUGUGUUAGGGCCAAGGAGCAGUCCCUCGGGUUGCUUCGAAGUUCUGGCACGUAACUGGACAGAAGUCGUAACAAGGUA